This is a non-coding RNA of Acanthosepion pharaonis, 113 nucleotides long. The record is from the annotation of a GenBank genome assembly. NCBI's taxonomy places the organism in Eukaryota, Metazoa, Mollusca, Cephalopoda, Sepiida, Sepiidae.
UUACGGCCAUAUCACGUUGAAACAUCGGUUCUCGUAUGAUCACCUAAGUUAAGCAACGUCGAGCCUGGUUAGUACCUAGAUGGGGGACUGCUUAGGAAUAACGGAUGUUGUUA